Non-coding RNA from Vicia faba (fava bean), 330 nucleotides. The record is from the annotation of a GenBank genome assembly. NCBI's taxonomy places the organism in Eukaryota, Viridiplantae, Streptophyta, Magnoliopsida, Fabales, Fabaceae.
AUGAGACUUACCCGCCGGAGACGAGUCUGGCGCUCCUUCAAACAUGAGGAUGAUAACGAUAAAACCCAAAGGAAACAGAAUCCCAGGUAUUUCCGCCUCCUUCUUAUUCCACUUUCUGAAUUUUUCCCUCUUAUGGUUUUGAUUACCUUCUUCUGUUACUACGCAACGUUGUUACUAAUUGCUGCUACUGGAAUUAUCAUUGAUUGCAUAUUGGCAUUGCCAUCGCGAUGUUGUGGAAGUUGUCGUUGUAUAUUGAUUAUGAUGGAAGGCCGAGAAGAUAAAGAUUGCAGGGUGAAGAUGUUGAAGGCCUCAAACAUGAUGUCGAGAUAG